AUACGGAGGGUGCAAGCGUUACUCGGAAUCACUGGGCGUAAAGCGCGCGCAGGCGGCUAUUUAAGUUGGAUGUGAAAGCCUACGGCUCAACCGUAGAACUGCAUCCAAAACUAUUUAGCUAGAGUGUGGGAGAGGAAGAUGGAAUUAGUUGUGUAGGGGUAAAAUCCGUAGAGAUAACUAGGAAUACCAAAAGCGAAGGCAAACUUCUGGAACACCACUGACGCUGAGGCGCGAAAGCGUGGGGAGCAAACAGGAUUAGAAACCCUAGUAGUCC
This 274-nucleotide ribosomal RNA is filed under the name uncultured bacterium. RNAcentral's name for it is "partial 16S ribosomal RNA". It matches the Rfam family "Bacterial small subunit ribosomal RNA", at positions 523 to 796 of the family's 1533-position model. The record is from RNAcentral.